This 629-nucleotide ribosomal RNA is filed under the name uncultured bacterium. RNAcentral describes it as "bacterial SSU rRNA". The stretch from base 1 to 545 matches the Rfam family "Bacterial small subunit ribosomal RNA", at positions 338 to 873 of the family's 1533-position model. The record is from RNAcentral.
CCUACGGGAGGCAGCAGUGGGGAAUUUUGGACAAUGGGCGAAAGCCUGAUCCAGCAAUGCCGCGUGAGUGAAGAAGGCCUUCGGGUUGUAAAGCUCUUUUGUCAGGGAAGAAACGGUGAGAGCUAAUAUCUCUUGCUAAUGACGGUACCUGAAGAAUAAGCACCGGCUAACUACGUGCCAGCAGCCGCGGUAAUACGUAGGGUGCAAGCGUUAAUCGGAAUUACUGGGCGUAAAGCGUGCGCAGGCGGUUUUGUAAGUCUGAUGUGAAAUCCCCGGGCUCAACCUGGGAAUUGCAUUGGAGACUGCAAGGCUAGAAUCUGGCAGAGGGGGGUAGAAUUCCACGUGUAGCAGUGAAAUGCGUAGAUAUGUGGAGGAACACCGAUGGCGAAGGCAGCCCCCUGGGUCAAGAUUGACGCUCAUGCACGAAAGCGUGGGGAGCAAACAGGAUUAGAUACCCUGGUAGUCCACGCCCUAAACGAUGUCUACUAGUUGUCGGGUUACUUAAUUGACUUGGUAACCGCGAGCGACGACGUGAGUAGACCGCCGUGGGUAGGUUACGGUUCGUCGAGAGUUAAACGUUACGAAGAGUAGUUAGACGNGNGAGAGCGACGACGCGACGACGGAGGAGG